UACAGAGGAGCCAAGCGUUGUCCGGAUUGACUGGGCGUAAAGCGCACGCAGGCGGUCGCGCGCGUGGGGUGUGAAAUCUGGCCGCUUAACGGCCAGGCGCCAUCCCAUACGGCGCGACUGGAGGCUUGCAGAGGUCGGUGGAAUUGCCGGUGUAGCGGUGAAAUGCGCAGAUAUCAGGAGGAACACCGGUGGCGAAGGCGGGUCUCUGGGCCGAUACUGACGCUGAGGAGCGAAAGCGUGGGGAGCAAACAGG
This 253-nucleotide ribosomal RNA is filed under the name uncultured bacterium. RNAcentral describes it as "partial 16S ribosomal RNA". It matches the Rfam family "Bacterial small subunit ribosomal RNA", at positions 524 to 776 of the family's 1533-position model. The record is from RNAcentral.